This 497-nucleotide ribosomal RNA is filed under the name uncultured bacterium. Its description in RNAcentral is "partial 16S ribosomal RNA". It matches the Rfam family "Bacterial small subunit ribosomal RNA", at positions 28 to 507 of the family's 1533-position model. The record is from RNAcentral.
GAUGAACGCUGGCGGCGUGCCUAAUACAUGCAAGUCGAGCGAACGGACGAGAAGCUUGCUUCUCUGAUGUUAGCGGCGGACGGGUGAGUAACACGUGGAUAACCUACCUAUAAGACUGGGAUAACUUCGGGAAACCGGAGCUAAUACCGGAUAAUAUUUUGAACCGCAUGGUUCAAAAGUGAAAGACGGUCUUGCUGUCACUUAUAGAUGGAUCCGCGCUGCAUUAGCUAGUUGGUAAGGUAACGGCUUACCAAGGCAACGAUGCAUAGCCGACCUGAGAGGGUGAUCGUCCACACUGGAACUGAGACACGGUCCAGACUCCUACGGGAGGCAGCAGUAGGGAAUCUUCCGCAAAGGGCGAAAGCCUGACGGAGCAACGCCGCGUGAGUGAUGAAGGUCUUCGGAUCGUAAAACUCUGUUAUUAGGGAAGAACAUAUGUGUAAGUAACUGUGCACAUCUUGACGGUACCUAAUCAGAAAGCCACGGCUAACUACGUG